This 640-nucleotide ribosomal RNA is filed under the name Streptomyces sp. ENT-10. RNAcentral's name for it is "bacterial SSU rRNA". It matches the Rfam family "Bacterial small subunit ribosomal RNA", at positions 235 to 885 of the family's 1533-position model. The record is from RNAcentral. Lineage: Bacteria; Bacillati; Actinomycetota; Actinomycetes; Kitasatosporales; Streptomycetaceae.
GGCCUAUCAGCUUGUUGGCGGGGUAAAGGCCCACCAAGGCGACGAUCCGUAGCUGGUCUGAGAGGAUGAUCAGCCACACUGGAACUGAGACACGGUCCAGACUCCUACGGGAGGCAGCAGUGGGGAAUAUUGGACAAUGGGCGCAAGCCUGAUCCAGCGACGCCGCGUGAGGGAUGACGGCCUUCGGGUUGUAAACCUCUUUCAGCAGGGAAGAAGCGAAAGUGACGGUACCUGCAGAAGAAGCGCCGGCUAACUACGUGCCAGCAGCCGCGGUAAUACGUAGGGCGCAAGCGUUGUCCGGAAUUAUUGGGCGUAAAGAGCUCGUAGGCGGCUUGUCACGUCGGUUGUGAAAGCCCGGGGCUUAACCCCGGGUCUGCAGUCGAUACGGGCAGGCUAGAGUUCGGUAGGGGAGAUCGGAAUUCCUGGUGUAGCGGUGAAAUGCGCAGAUAUCAGGAGGAACACCGGUGGCGAAGGCGGAUCUCUGGGCCGAUACUGACGCUGAGGAGCGAAAGCGUGGGGAGCGAACAGGAUUAGAUACCCUGGUAGUCCACGCCGUAAACGGUGGGCACUAGGUGUGGGCAACAUUCCACGUUGUCCGUGCCGCAGCUAACGCAUUAAGUGCCCCGCCUGGGGAGUACGG